RNAcentral lists this non-coding RNA (29 nucleotides) under Homo sapiens (human). Lineage: Eukaryota; Metazoa; Chordata; Mammalia; Primates; Hominidae. The record is from RNAcentral.
UNCCAGAUGAAGCACUUGGCAUGGCUGCA